This 253-nucleotide ribosomal RNA is filed under the name uncultured bacterium. RNAcentral's name for it is "partial 16S ribosomal RNA". It matches the Rfam family "Bacterial small subunit ribosomal RNA", at positions 524 to 776 of the family's 1533-position model. The record is from RNAcentral.
UACAGAGGUCUCAAGCGUUGUUCGGAUUCACUGGGCGUAAAGGGUGCGUAGGUGGUGAGGUAAGUCGGAUGUGAAAGCUCGGAGCUCAACUCCGAAAUGGCAUUGGAAACUACCUUGCUCGAGGGUUGGAGGGGGGACUGGAAUGCUUGGUGUAGCAGUGAAAUGCGUAGAUAUCAAGCGGAACACCAGUGGCGGAGGCGAGUCCCUGGACAACUCCUGACACUGAGGCACGAAAGCUAGGGGAGCAAACAGG